Molecule: ribosomal RNA, 243 nt
Filed under: uncultured bacterium
Lineage: Bacteria
Description: partial 16S ribosomal RNA
Rfam family: Bacterial small subunit ribosomal RNA
Source: RNAcentral
UGGGUAACCUGCCUCAAAGAGGGGAAUAGCCUCCCGAAAGGGAGAUUAAUACCGCAUAAUAUGUUUAGGUCGCAUGACUUUAACAUCAAAGGAUUUUCUUUUAGAAAUUCCACUUUGAGAUGGACCCGCGGCGCAUUAGCUAGUUGGUGAGGUAACGGCUCACCAAGGCAACGAUGCGUAGCCGACCUGAGAGGGUGAUCGGCCACAUUGGAACUGAGACACGGUCCAGACUCCUAUGGGAGG